Molecule: long non-coding RNA, 1092 nt
Organism: Mytilus californianus (California mussel)
Lineage: Eukaryota; Metazoa; Mollusca; Bivalvia; Mytilida; Mytilidae
Exons: 3
Source: RefSeq, a predicted model, not a curated record
GGUCAAAAUGAAGGACGCUGCAUAAUAUGUUUUUCCAUGCCGUUGCAUCGAAUGAAAUGCCACGAUCAACAAUUUCGCUCUCCUUUGAACUAGUAAAGUCUGUGAAGGGUAAUAGUGCUAAAUCCAAUGGUGCUAUUUGAAGAUGCUGGGGGAGAAAAUGAGACUUGCCUAAACUGGAACCUUCAUGAAACAAAAAAAACCAUUGUAAGCUGAUUUGCAUUAUUGGGACAAAUAUAUACAACUUGAAAUGGAGGAAGUUUCAAUAUUACAAAAUGAUGUUGUUGACAAGGACUCCUCCCAUUGGUCUUAUAGCACACUAAGUCAAGAAAUAACCAUGUACAUCAAAGCUGAACCUGAGGAAAAUCCAACAAGUAACAAAAAAAGUGAGAUAAAAGAUUCUUCAAAUGUAGAAAAGGAACCAAAAUUAAAUGUAGACAUCAAUUUAAAACAAGUUGUUGAAAUUGAUUCACUAGCUGAAAAAGAAAUGCAAAAUUGUUCUUUGUGCAAGGAAAAAAUUCCUAAAGAAGAGGUUAACUUUCAUAUGAAAAAACACACAAAGGAUUUCUCAUGUGACAUAUGUAGCAAACACUUUAAAACAUUUCAGGGAUUGAAAAAUCACUAUGCAACCCAUACUGGUGUAAGGAAAUAUGAGUGUGAUUCAUGUGAUAAAAAAUUCAUUGAUUUGGCAACCCUUAAAGAACACACUAAUAUACAUACUGGUGAUAAACCAUACAUGUGUGAUAUAUGUGGUAAAGCUUUCAAUCACCACAGCUCUCUUGGAAAGCAUCGAUAUACACAUAGUGAUAAAAAACCUCAUAUUUGUGAUGUAUGUGGACGUGGAUUUAAACGUAAGGAUAUCCUGAAGGAGCAUACUAAGGUACAUACUGGUGAGGGAACAAGGAAGUAUAAAACAAUAAAGGAAUAUAGAUGUCUGGUUUGUAAUAAAGUGUGUGGAAAAAAUUCUCACCUCACCAUACAUAUGAGGGUUCAUACUGGUGAGAAACCCUUCAAAUGUGAACUCUGUGACAGAAGAUUUUCUGCAAACGAAGAUAAAAAAAAGCAUAUGAAAGUUCAUAAAGAUUAACAUGAUUU